This 1025-nucleotide long non-coding RNA is filed under the name Equus caballus (horse). RNAcentral's name for it is "lncRNA (ENSECAG00000051143.1)". Lineage: Eukaryota; Metazoa; Chordata; Mammalia; Perissodactyla; Equidae. The record is from RNAcentral.
UUGCUCCCUCCACCUUGAAUGGCCUGCUGCCCGUGUCUUCUGGCCACCCUAAGGUCCCAGCUCACGUUUCCUCCCCCAUGAAGGCUUCAUGACUCAGGGAAGGAUGAUCCCAUCCCUCCAACCCAUCUGCUGUAGGACUUACCACAAAGCCUACAGUGAUUUACCUUAUCAUGUCUCCUCUGCUAAACAUGGGGCUCUUACUCAUCUUUGUAUCCACAGCAGCAACUAUAGUGCCUGACACGUAACAGAUACUCGAGAAUUGCUUGUUUAGUGACCACUUUCAGAAAUGAAUGAAUGAAAACGAUGAAAUGCUUUAGAGUAGCUCUGUGGUAUUUUAUACUGAUUUUGUAAUACACGUAUAUUACUAUGCAUGAAUACUCCUUAAUAAAAAUUUUAUGGUAUAUAUUAUUAUAUUCAUGUGCAGUUAUUUAUAGCCCUCCUCUUUCCAAAAGAAGGAUUUGAGAGGGGCCAAACUAUGUAAAUAACCUUUAUAUCAUACCCACUUUAAAUCAAUUUAACAUUUAACCAAUUCCAGCUUUUAUCCAUUUAGCUGGAUGUUUACAGAUUAACAUCUUCCUUAUCUUCUUUAUUAAGAAAACGCCACAUUUCCAGGUUUUGACUUGUUUCAGAGGCAAAUAGUAAGAAAUACUUUUAAGUCUGAAAUAAUGAAGUUUCGUUUCGUGCUAAUCCUUUUAAGACAAAGGCCUAAAUGGGGUGAGGAUGUUGGAAAGCUCUAUCUGCCUUCUGGCUGGGCACGGGAGGGACACCUUCUUUCCUGGACUCUAAUUCUCUCUCUGAGUGGCACACCUUUCUCACAGCACCGAGCGGCUGGAAUGAUGGCUUCAGGAGGGGGAUCGGGAACAGAUGUCAUUCAUUGACUCUGGGUAAUGAGAUUUCAUAUUCCGUCAAAAUCCUGAAUAGGACAGGAGAGGCCUCAUUAGUGGUUUCGUGACUGAACAGGUGUAGAGGUCCCAUGCGCACAGCAGGUAGAGAGAGGCCAUUUCAAUUCCACGUGUAGAUGUAUC